This 450-nucleotide ribosomal RNA is filed under the name uncultured bacterium. Its description in RNAcentral is "partial 16S ribosomal RNA". It matches the Rfam family "Bacterial small subunit ribosomal RNA", at positions 338 to 795 of the family's 1533-position model. The record is from RNAcentral.
CCUACGGGGGGCUGCAGUGGGGAAUUUUGGACAAUGGGCGCAAGCCUGAUCCAGCAAUGCCGCGUGCAGGAUGAAGGCCUUCGGGUUGUAAACUGCUUUUGUACGGAACGAAACGGUGAGCUUUAAUACAGUUUGCUAAUGACGGUACCGUAAGAAUAAGCACCGGCUAACUACGUGCCAGCAGCCGCGGUAAUACGUAGGGGGAGAGCGUUAAGCAGAAUUACUGGGGGUGAAGCUUGAACACGCAUGUGAAAUCCCCGGGCUCAACCUGGGACCUGCAUUUGUGACUGUAUAGCUAGAGUACGGUAGAGGGGGAUGGAAUUCCGCGUGUAGCAGUGAAAUGCGUAGAUAUGCGGAGGAACACCGAUGGCGAAGGCAAUCCCCUGGACCUGUACUGACGCUCAUGCACGAAAGCGUGGGGAGCAAACAGGAUUAGAUACCCUAGUAGUC